Molecule: long non-coding RNA, 662 nt
Organism: Girardinichthys multiradiatus
Lineage: Eukaryota; Metazoa; Chordata; Actinopteri; Cyprinodontiformes; Goodeidae
Exons: 3
Source: RefSeq, a predicted model, not a curated record
GUUGUAAACCACCCGAUGAGAUAAUGUUCACGCUUCUAACGUCAGAAAAGCCAACAAAUCUUGGGAGAUUAUCCGUUUAAAUAUAUGCGGUUAAAUCUCGAUGAGAUCCUGAGAAGAAAGAAGAAAACACAGGGUGGUCGAAGGUCUUAAGUACGUAAUUGUUGUGACAUUAGGACGGACAAACUGCAAAAAGGCCAACCAAAUAUGGGGUGUACUGUCUACACUGAUCCAGCCCAGGCUCAGAUUUACCAGUGCACAUUCACCGUGUCUCGCGCCUGGCUCAAUGAUAUGAGGCUGCUGGGAGAGAAAUGUCAGAAACCUUAACGUCAUUCAGAGUGAAAUACAUUGUACUUACAGCGUAAAACAUCUUUACAUCCUCUGUGUGACUUUGCUAUAUACUUCAUUUUGUUUUCAAACUUUAGAGUAUUUAAUAUAAAGUCCAAUGUAAAUGCUGAAGUACAAAACAAAGUUGAUAAGUUACCAAUAUCAAAUUUUUCAGUGGCUUAAUUAAACCUACACAGAUUUUAAAAACAUGACUUAUCUGAAUCUGUUGAUGUGAUUAAUAAAUCCUUUUCUUGACUACCUUUGUGUGGUGGGGGCAAAUAUAGAACAUAUGUUUGUUUGGUGAUGCAUCAAAUAAAGGGAGCUGUAGUUAAUGGUCA